UAGAGUAAUUGGGUGCUAUUUACUGUAGCAGAAUUUCGAGGUUAGCAAAUAUGACCCCAAAGGGUCAUCGACUAGCAAGAAAGUAUGUUGCAACAACAUGUAUGCAGCGUAAUAAAUGUCUGGGAGCAUUCAACACUUGCCCUUAUAGGGUCUCUUAUGUCUCUGAUCAAACUUCUACUUCUGGGAUAUUGGUAGUGGAUGUUCCGCACUUAACAACAGAAGAUAGUCAUCACGAAUAUGUUGAGGCAUACAUUUCGUUUGGUUGUGGACAGGUGCAAGGCGGUUCAUUCCUGGAUAUAUAUUGCUGCUCCUAAUGGUUUGUUUGGUCUUGGUAUGGAGAAGAUAUUGAAUUAUUUCUUUGAUCCUUGUUUUGUUUGUGUGUUCGAAUUGUGUAUGUUUGUGUAGUUGUAUAUUAAUUAUGUUUUUAUAUAUAUCUCAUUUGGGCUUUAGAAGCAUCCAGCUAUCUAUCUAGAUGAAAACAUCAUGUUUACUCUCUUUCAUCCAUAAAUUUCGUUCGGUAAAGCACAUUACGACCAUACACCUCAGUCCUUCUCCUUUUUCUCUAUUCUUCUAAUAUUUACAGAAUAAUCUGCAGGUAAUAUAUUCUGUCUCUAGUCAGCAGUUUUGUUACUUUAGUAUAGGGCAUGUAGCAAUUUUGUUUUGGCUCAUAAAUCAUAAUCAAGAUUUCUUUAGUCUGUUUGUAUUUACUCGAGAAACUUUAACGAUGUGCCAGGUGUUGAAUCGUUCUUCUGCUAUCCCGGUGCAGCAGCCCAAGAUUCAACAAGAUGGUGGUAGUAUAUCAUGUAAAAAGCCAUUUACAGUCAUCCACCACCAGCUUUUGGUUUUUCUGAAGACCUUGAACUUGCUCUUGAAGCCAAGAAGUUACAAGUACAACAUGGGAAUAACACUGAAUGCCUUUUAAAGG
This is an RNA transcript of Rosa rugosa (rugosa rose), 925 nucleotides long. RefSeq lists it as uncharacterized. The record is from RefSeq and is a predicted model, not a curated record. Lineage: Eukaryota; Viridiplantae; Streptophyta; Magnoliopsida; Rosales; Rosaceae. The transcript is spliced from 3 exons.